UUCCCUCCAAAGUCUGUAUUUUACCUGCCUACAAAAGGAGGAGUCCCCGGCGGACUUCCUCAGUAUUCGCAGGUGGGAAAUUCGGUGAAAUCGCUCUGCCCACCAGGGAAAAGGUAAAACUCUCCCUGGUCCUUGGAAGGACUUGUCCUUCUGAGUCUCGUGAGAGAUGCCAAGCGUGGAGACGCUAGGGUGGUCGCCAUAAGAAACUUCAACAGGUCACACUGUUAUGGGAGGCGCCACGGGCAGUUGGUCCCUUUGCAUCCAGAAGGAAGCUUUGGGGCUGUUGAGUGCAAUAUACAGAGCGCUAGAAGGAGUCCUUCCUUCUACGCGUAA
This 333-nucleotide RNase P RNA is filed under the name Wickerhamomyces canadensis. Its description in RNAcentral is "partial RNase P RNA". It matches the Rfam family "Nuclear RNase P", at positions 15 to 275 of the family's 301-position model. From Rfam's summary of the family: Ribonuclease P (RNase P) is a ubiquitous endoribonuclease, found in archaea, bacteria and eukarya as well as chloroplasts and mitochondria. Its best characterised activity is the generation of mature 5'-ends of tRNAs by cleaving the 5'-leader elements of precursor-tRNAs. The record is from RNAcentral. Lineage: Eukaryota; Fungi; Ascomycota; Saccharomycetes; Phaffomycetales; Wickerhamomycetaceae.